GAGUUUGAUCAUGGCUCAGAACGAACGCUGGCGGCAGGCCUAACACAUGCAAGUCGAACGAUCCUUCGGGAUAGUGGCAGACGGGUGAGUAACGCGUGGGAACCUUCCCUGUGGUACGGAAUAGCUCCGGGAAACUGGAAUUAAUACCGUAUACGCCCUUCGGGGGAAAGAUUUAUCGCCAUAGGAUGGGCCCGCGUCGGAUUAGCUUGUUGGUGAGGUAAUGGCUCACCAAGGCUCCGAUCCGUAGCUGGUCUUAGAGGAUGAUCAGCCACACUGGGACUGAGACACGGCCCAGACUCCUACGGGAGGCAGCAGUGGGGAAUAUUGGACAAUGGGCGAAAGCCUGAUCCAGCCAUGCCGCGUGAGUGACGAAGGCCUUAGGGUUGUAAAGCUCUUUUGGCGGGGACGAUAAUGACGGUACCCGCAGAAUAAGCCCCGGCUAACUUCGUGCCAGCAGCCGCGGUAAUACGAAGGGGGCUAGCGUUGUUCGGAAUCACUGGGCGUAAAGCGCACGUAGCUGACUGGUCAGUUGGGGGUGAAAUCCCGGGGCUCAACCUCGGAACUGCCUUCAAUACUGCCAGUCUUGAG
This 588-nucleotide ribosomal RNA is filed under the name uncultured Pedomicrobium sp. RNAcentral describes it as "bacterial SSU rRNA". It matches the Rfam family "Bacterial small subunit ribosomal RNA", at positions 9 to 646 of the family's 1533-position model. The record is from RNAcentral. Lineage: Bacteria; Pseudomonadati; Pseudomonadota; Alphaproteobacteria; Hyphomicrobiales; Hyphomicrobiaceae.